RNAcentral lists this small RNA (666 nucleotides) under Pan troglodytes (chimpanzee). Its description in RNAcentral is "retained intron". The record is from RNAcentral. Lineage: Eukaryota; Metazoa; Chordata; Mammalia; Primates; Hominidae.
AUUCUUUUGGAACAGACAAAAAAAAAUAGUUCUCCAAAGCCUUGCUUAAUCCUUAUUUUAGCACUUGCUUUUUUGUGAUUACAUAAAUGAAAAUAACUCAUUAUUUUAAAAAGUCUUUAGGGGGACACAUCAUUAGCAGGCAUCCAGAUUCAGAUCUGAAUCCCAUCCUGGCUGUGGGUAACUGUACCCUCAACUUGCUAUCAAAAGAAGGAAAACGACAGAUUCCUUUAAAUGAGCAAUUCCUCAGCAAGUGCCCUAAUGCAGAUCUUAAGCCUCAAGAAAUCUUGGUCUCAGUGAACAUCCCCUACUCAAGGAAGUGGGAAUUUGUGUCAGCCUUCCGACAAGCCCAGCGACAGGAGAAUGCGCUAGCGAUAGUCAAUUCAGGAAUGAGAGUCUUUUUUGGAGAAGGGGAUGGCAUUAUUAGAGAGUUAUGCAUCUCAUAUGGAGGCGUUGGUCCAGCCACCAUCUGUGCCAAGAAUUCCUGCCAGAAACUCAUUGGAAGGCACUGGAACGAAGAGAUGCUGGAUACAGCCUGCAGGCUUAUUCUGAAUGAAGUCUCCCUUUUGGGCUCGGCGCCAGGUGGGAAAGUGGAGUUCAAGAGGACUCUUAUCAUCAGCUUCCUCUUCAAGUUCUACCUGGAAGUGUCACAGAUUUUGAAAAAGAUGG